This 328-nucleotide unclassified non-coding RNA is filed under the name soil metagenome. RNAcentral describes it as "partial contains 5.8S ribosomal RNA, internal transcribed spacer 2, and large subunit ribosomal RNA". The stretch from base 1 to 120 matches the Rfam family "5.8S ribosomal RNA", at positions 35 to 154 of the family's 154-position model. The record is from RNAcentral.
GAUGAAGAACGUAGUGAAAUGCGAUAAGUAGUGUGAAUUGCAGAAUUCAGUGAAUCAUCGAAUCUUUGAACGCACAUUGCGCCCCUUGGUAUCCCGAGGGGCAUGCCUGUUCGAGCGUCAUUUCACCACUCAAGCCUGGCUUGGUGUUGGGCGACGUCCCCUUUGGGGACGCGCCUCGAAACGCUCGGCGGCGUGGCACCGGCUUUAAGCGUAGCAGAAUCUUUCGCUUUGGAAGUCGGGGCCCCGUCUGCCGGAAGACCUACUCGCAAGGUUGACCUCGGAUCAGGCAGGGAUACCCGCUGAACUUAAGCAUAUCAAUAAGCGGGGA